GUGCUCGCUUCAGCAGCACAUACACUAAAAUUGGAACGAUGCAGAGAAGAUUAGCAUGGCCCCUGUGCAAGGAUGACACACAAAUUCGUUAAGCGUUCCAUAUUUUU
Molecule: small nuclear RNA, 107 nt
Organism: Fukomys damarensis (Damara mole-rat)
Lineage: Eukaryota; Metazoa; Chordata; Mammalia; Rodentia; Bathyergidae
Source: Ensembl